AUUGAACGCUGGCGGCAUGCCUUACACAUGCAAGUCGAACGGUAACAGGUCUUCGGAUGCUGACGAGUGGCGAACGGGUGAGUAAUACAUCGGAACGUGCCCGAUCGUGGGGGAUAACGAGGCGAAAGCUUUGCUAAUACCGCAUACGAUCUACGGAUGAAAGCGGGGGAUCUUCGGACCUCGCGCGGACGGAGCGGCCGAUGGCAGAUUAGGUAGUUGGUGGGAUAAAAGCUUACCAAGCCGACGAUCUGUAGCUGGUCUGAGAGGAUGAUCAGCCACACUGGGACUGAGACACGGCCCAGACUCCUACGGGAGGCAGCAGUGGGGAAUUUUGGACAAUGGGCGAAAGCCUGAUCCAGCCAUGCCGCGUGCAGGAUGAAGGCCCUCGGGUUGUAAACUGCUUUUGUACGGAACGAAAAGCCUCUUUCUAAUAAAGAGGGGUCAUGACGGUACCGUAAGAAUAAGCACCGGCUAACUACGUG
Molecule: ribosomal RNA, 482 nt
Filed under: uncultured bacterium
Lineage: Bacteria
Description: partial 16S ribosomal RNA
Rfam family: Bacterial small subunit ribosomal RNA
Source: RNAcentral